GUUUUAAUAAUUUAAAUAAAAUAUUGGUCUUGUAAAUCAAAAAUAAAUUCUUUUUUAAAGCU
Molecule: transfer RNA, 62 nt
Filed under: Eurypogon sp. EUR01
Lineage: Eukaryota; Metazoa; Arthropoda; Insecta; Coleoptera; Artematopodidae
Description: tRNA-Thr
Source: RNAcentral